RNAcentral lists this long non-coding RNA (900 nucleotides) under Mus spicilegus (steppe mouse). RNAcentral describes it as "lncRNA (ENSMSIG00000030252.1)". Lineage: Eukaryota; Metazoa; Chordata; Mammalia; Rodentia; Muridae. The record is from RNAcentral.
CCUCAGGACAGAUUUAAAGACAUGGGAUCAGGGAUAACACAAUUAUCUAGAUUGGACUCCCUCACCCAGCCCAGAAAUCCCCUCUGUAGCUUCCUGAAGUGUUUCUGCCCUGAGCUGGGAUACUGGGAAAAGCAAGCAGCCUUUCUGCCCUUUGUAGCUGCACAAAUCCAGCAAACGAGAAGGUGCCAGACUUUAGUCAGCCUCACCCUUCAGCUGCAGUCUAGCUUUCCUGGACCUUGGAGUCAUAGAGGUUCCUUUUUGGAGGGAUGGCACAAGAUGAUGAUGAUGAUGAUGAUGAUGAUGAUGAUGAUGAUGAUGAUGAAGAGGAACGUCCAGGUCCUGAGUCGGUAACACAUGAUGACCAUGAAGGUCGACAGAGACAAGCCUUUUCUCCUGUGGUCCAUGUCCCUGUUGCCUGCCUUCUGUGAUCACUCAAUAGGUAAGGUCACUCUAACCCCUACCCUUCACCCUUAUCUCUGGUGUGCACUGUCGCUAGCAGCUUCCUCAUUCUGACUUUCUGUUCAGCAGAAUGUUGGCUGCACAUCCACGUCACACUCCAGUAGUCAGAUGUGUUUCUUACAGUGCUGGGAUGGAGGAGCUUUACACAUGCUAAGCAAGUGCUCUACCACUGAGUGAGACCCCUAACCUCCAUCAACCAGAGCUGAGUCCUCAGCACCUCUACUUGAGUUGACAAAUUGUGAGAAAUGAAGCAAUGCAGGCCUGAGCCUUGACUAUAGGCCUGCUGCCAGCCCUCAUAAGCCUGGGGUCCUUAAAUGUGUACCCACAUCAUAAAUAGUAGGAAGGUGGUGAUCUCUUCCAGGAGAGUGGGAUGGAGGUUGGGCUGCUCCCAUGGAAAUCAAUUUCUAGAAGAACUUUGGAGAUUAGCCAACCCUGCCCAUA